GGAAAAGACAUUACAUGGCCCUCCAAGGGCACUACCAAGGCUAUAUUGUGGCAGCAAUAGUAGUAAAAGGGUACAUGUAACAAGACAGUUUUUAUCCAACGUCCAAAAGUCGGAGCUGAGAUAUGGACCCAAGCUGAAGGCCUCUGGUUGCGUGGAUGGAAGCUGUGGACAGUGAUAAUUCAUGCUCAUCUUGAUGGUGGUUGUCAAGAGUGAGGGAUGAGAAGAGAUCCGGUUGGAUCAUUUUGCCGAGCACUUGUUGUGCAACAAUCUUCAUUUGGAACAAAUUAUAAAAGCUUUCCUUCAUGUUUCUAUUUCUUCCAUUGCCUCUCCAACCUCUCAAAAUUUAGAAACUCAACUAAAAUUGAAUACUCGUCUCUUAGGAAAAGCUAAAGAAUGGAGCUUAUGUAAUUUCGAUCUUCGGACUGUCGUUGAAUAUCAAGCUGGUGAAAUAAGAUUUUUUAUCUUUGCGAGCAAAGUGAACUGAAUAAUGGUAAAAAUGGUCGACCAAGAAGAACCAAUAGCAGAAUUCUCUCUUUGUAGACCUGUUGGUUGGUUCUUG
RNAcentral lists this long non-coding RNA (559 nucleotides) under Olea europaea subsp. europaea. The record is from RNAcentral. Lineage: Eukaryota; Viridiplantae; Streptophyta; Magnoliopsida; Lamiales; Oleaceae.